RNAcentral lists this ribosomal RNA (1049 nucleotides) under Saccharomyces cerevisiae (brewer's yeast). RNAcentral describes it as "SSU rRNA". It matches the Rfam family "Eukaryotic small subunit ribosomal RNA", at positions 63 to 1120 of the family's 1831-position model. The record is from RNAcentral. Lineage: Eukaryota; Fungi; Ascomycota; Saccharomycetes; Saccharomycetales; Saccharomycetaceae.
GUAUAAGCAAUUUAUACAGUGAAACUGCGAAUGGCUCAUUAAAUCAGUUAUCGUUUAUUUGAUAGUUCCUUUACUACAUGGUAUAACUGUGGUAAUUCUAGAGCUAAUACAUGCUUAAAAUCUCGACCCUUUGGAAGAGAUGUAUUUAUUAGAUAAAAAAUCAAUGUCUUCGGACUCUUUGAUGAUUCAUAAUAACUUUUCGAAUCGCAUGGCCUUGUGCUGGCGAUGGUUCAUUCAAAUUUCUGCCCUAUCAACUUUCGAUGGUAGGAUAGUGGCCUACCAUGGUUUCAACGGGUAACGGGGAAUAAGGGUUCGAUUCCGGAGAGGGAGCCUGAGAAACGGCUACCACAUCCAAGGAAGGCAGCAGGCGCGCAAAUUACCCAAUCCUAAUUCAGGGAGGUAGUGACAAUAAAUAACGAUACAGGGCCCAUUCGGGUCUUGUAAUUGGAAUGAGUACAAUGUAAAUACCUUAACGAGGAACAAUUGGAGGGCAAGUCUGGUGCCAGCAGCCGCGGUAAUUCCAGCUCCAAUAGCGUAUAUUAAAGUUGUUGCAGUUAAAAAGCUCGUAGUUGAACUUUGGGCCCGGUUGGCCGGUCCGAUUUUUUCGUGUACUGGAUUUCCAACGGGGCCUUUCCUUCUGGCUAACCUUGAGUCCUUGUGGCUCUUGGCGAACCAGGACUUUUACUUUGAAAAAAUUAGAGUGUUCAAAGCAGGCGUAUUGCUCGAAUAUAUUAGCAUGGAAUAAUAGAAUAGGACGUUUGGUUCUAUUUUGUUGGUUUCUAGGACCAUCGUAAUGAUUAAUAGGGACGGUCGGGGGCAUCAGUAUUCAAUUGUCAGAGGUGAAAUUCUUGGAUUUAUUGAAGACUAACUACUGCGAAAGCAUUUGCCAAGGACGUUUUCAUUAAUCAAGAACGAAAGUUAGGGGAUCGAAGAUGAUCAGAUACCGUCGUAGUCUUAACCAUAAACUAUGCCGACUAGGGAUCGGGUGGUGUUUUUUUAAUGACCCACUCGGCACCUUACGAGAAAUCAAAGUCUUUGGGUUCUGGGGG